CCUACGGGAGGCAGCAGUAGGGAAUCUUUCACAAUGGGCGAAAGCCUGAUGGAGCAACGCCGCGUGCAGGACGAAGGCUUUCGGGUUGUAAACUGCUUUCAUCAGCGAGAAAUAUGACGGUAACUUACCAAUAAGGCUCGGCUAACUACGUGCCAGCAGCCGCGGUCAUACGUAGGAUCCGAGCAUUAUCCGGAGUGACUGGGUGUAAAGAGUUGCGUAGGUGGCAUAAGAAGUAGCUAGUGGAAUCUGGUGGCUCAACCAUUCAGACUAUUAGCUAAACUGUUAAGCUCGAGACCGUUAGGGGUAACUGGAAUUUCUAGUGUAGGAGUGAAAUCCGUAGAUAUUAGGAGGAACACCAAUAGCGUAGGCAGGUUGCUGGGACGGGUCUGACGCUGAGGCACGAAAGCGUAGGGAGCAAACGGGAUUAGAUACCCUUGUAGUC
This 442-nucleotide ribosomal RNA is filed under the name uncultured bacterium. RNAcentral describes it as "partial 16S ribosomal RNA". It matches the Rfam family "Bacterial small subunit ribosomal RNA", at positions 338 to 795 of the family's 1533-position model. The record is from RNAcentral.